This 734-nucleotide ribosomal RNA is filed under the name Opeltia juniperina. Its description in RNAcentral is "mitochondrial SSU rRNA". It matches the Rfam family "Bacterial small subunit ribosomal RNA", at positions 352 to 1195 of the family's 1533-position model. Lineage: Eukaryota; Fungi; Ascomycota; Lecanoromycetes; Teloschistales; Teloschistaceae. The record is from RNAcentral.
CUUGGAGGAAUGUAUAGCAAUAGCUAACUGCACUAAAGUUUUUAGUGUAAAAUCGACUAUGUUGAAUAAAAUUCUGGGUGGUACUAUGAUAAUGACAUUACUUAUUCAUAAGUCUUGACCAAAUUACGUGCCAGCAGUCGCGGUAAUACGUAGAAGACAAGUGUUAUUCAUCUUUAAUAGGUUUAAAGGGUACUUAGACGGUAAAUAAAGCCUCAAAAAGGGACUAAUUUGCUAGAGUUUUAUGUGAGGAAGUAUUAAAGUACUGCUGGUGUAGAGAUGAAAUUCUGUCAUACCUUGAAUGGCACAGGUUACGGCGAAAGCAUCUUUUUAUGUAAAAACUGACGUUGAAGGACGAAGGCUUUGUGUCUCGAACAGGAUUAGAUACCCUAGUAGUCUAAGCAGACAAUGAUGAAUGUCAUAGGUUAGAUGUAUUUUGAUCUAUAAAUGAAAGUGUAAGCAUUCCACCUCAAGAGUAAUUUGGCAACAUUGGAACUGAAAUCAUUAGACCGUUUCUGAAACCAGUAGUGAAGUAUGUUGUUUAAUUUGAUAAUCCGCAAAAAACCUUACCACAAUAUGAAUAGAUAUAUUUUAUCAUACCAGCGUUGCACGGCUGUCUUCAGUUAAUGUCGUGAGAUUUUGGUUAGUUCCAUAAAAUUAACGUAAACCCUUACUUUAUUUCAUAAUAAAGUAGCUCACCGCUAUAUUGGAUGGAUAGAGGGAUCAGACAGUCAUCA